This 492-nucleotide ribosomal RNA is filed under the name uncultured bacterium. RNAcentral's name for it is "partial 16S ribosomal RNA". It matches the Rfam family "Bacterial small subunit ribosomal RNA", at positions 29 to 507 of the family's 1533-position model. The record is from RNAcentral.
AGUGAACGCUGGCGGUAGGCCUAACACAUGCAAGUCGAACGGCCGCACAGUAAGAGCUUGCUCUUACGGGUGGCGAGUGGCGGCCGGGUGAGGAAUACAUCGGAAUCUACUUUUUCGUGGGGGAUCACGUAGGGAAACUUACGCUACUACCGCAUACGACCUACGGGUGAAAGCAGGAGAUCUUCGCACCUUGCGCGAUUGAAUGAGCCGAUGUCGGAUUAGCUAGUUGGCGGGGUAAAGGCCCACCAAGGCGACGAUCCGUAGCUGGUCUGAGAGGAUGAUCAGCCACACUGGAACUGAGACACGGUCCAGACUCCUACGGGAGGCAGCAGUGGGGAAUAUUGGACAAUGGGCGCAAGCCUGAUCCAGCCAUACCGCGUGAGUGAAGAAGGCCUUCGGGUUGUAAAGCCCUUUUGUUGGGGAAGAAAAGCAGCAGGUUAAUACCCCGCUGUUCUGACGGUACCCAAAGAAUAAGCACCGGCUAACUUCGUG